RNAcentral lists this ribosomal RNA (440 nucleotides) under uncultured bacterium. Its description in RNAcentral is "partial 16S ribosomal RNA". It matches the Rfam family "Bacterial small subunit ribosomal RNA", at positions 338 to 795 of the family's 1533-position model. The record is from RNAcentral.
CCUACGGGAGGCAGCAGUGGGGAAUAUUGCACAAUGGGGGAAACCCUGAUGCAGCGACGCCGCGUGGAGGAUGAAGGUUUUCGGAUUGUAAACUCCUUUUGUUAGAGAAGAGAAUGACGGUAUCUAACGAAUAAGCACCGGCUAACUCCGUGCCAGCAGCCGCGGUAAUACGGAGGGUACAAGCGUUACUCGGAAUCACUGGGCGUAAAGAGCGCGUAGGCGGGAUAGCAAGUCAGAUGUGAAAUCCUAUGGCUUAACCAUAGAACUGCCUUUGAAACUGUUAUUCUAGAGUAUGGGAGAGGUAGGUGGAAUUCUUGGUGUAGUGGUCAAAUCCGUAGAGAUCAAGAGGAAUACUCAUUGCGAAGGCGACCUGCUAGAACAUAACUGACGCUGAUGCGCGAAAGCGUGGGUAGCAAACAGGAUUAGAUACCCGAGUAGUC